Molecule: ribosomal RNA, 447 nt
Filed under: uncultured bacterium
Lineage: Bacteria
Description: partial 16S ribosomal RNA
Rfam family: Bacterial small subunit ribosomal RNA
Source: RNAcentral
AGCGAACGCUGGCGGCAGGCCUAACACAUGCAAGUCGAGCGCCCCGCAAGGGGAGCGGCAGACGGGAGAGUAACACGUGGGAACGUACCCUUCAGUUCGGAACAACCAAGGGAAACUUUGGCUAAUACCGAAUACGUCCGUAAGGAGAAAGAUUUAUCGCUGAAGGAUCGGCCCGCGUCUGAUUAGCUAGUUGGUGGGGUAAUGGCCCACCAAGGCGACGAUCAGUAGCUGGUCUGAGAGGAUGAUCAGCCUCACUGGGACUGAGACACGGCCCAGACUCCUACGGGAGGCAGCAGUGGGGAAUAUUGGACAAUGGGCGCAAGCCUGAUCCAGCCAUGCCGCGUGGAUGAUGAAGGCCCUAGGGUUGUAAAGUCCUUUCGGCGGGGAAGAUAAUGACGGUACCCGCAGAAGAAGCCCCGGCUAACUUCGUGCCAGCAGCCGCCGCCG